AUUUGGUUAGGAUUUGAUUUAGGGUUAGAAUUUGGUUAGGAUUUGAUUUAAGAUUAGGAUUUGAUUUAGGGUUUAGGAUUUGAUUUAGGGGUGGUUAGGAUUUGAUUUACGAUUAGGAUUUGAUUAGGAUUUGAUUUAGGAUAAGAAUUUGAUUAAGAUUUGAUUAAGAUUUGAUUUAGGAUUAAGGUUUGGUUUAGGGUUUAGGAUUUGGUUAGGAUUUGAUUUAAGAUUAGAAUUUGGUUUAAAGUUUAGGAUUUGGUUAGGGUUUGAUUUAGGAUUAAGAUUUGGUUUAGAAUUUAGGAGUUGAUUAGGAUUUGAUUUAGGAUUUAGGAUUUGGUUUAGGAUUUAGGAUUUGAUUUAGGAUUUAAGGUUUAGUUAGGAUUUGAUCAGGAUUUGAUUUAGGGUUUAGGAUUUUAUUUGAGAUUGUUUAGGAUUUAAGAUUUAGUUAGUUUUUGGCCUAAAGCUAGAAUGAAGUAGGAUUUCAACUAGGAUUAAAUUAAGAUUGAAUUGAGAUAUAUUUGAAAUAUGUUUGUAAUCAUUCUAAUAUUUUUUUAAGAUUUCUUAUUGUUUCUUUGAAAUUCUUUUAAGAUUUCUCUGAAUUUGAUUAAAGCUUAUUUAGCAUUAUUAGUGUUCUAUUAGAAUUAGGAUUUUGUUGUUGCAAUUUCCAUUCUACCUUCCACAACCAAGUGCCCGAAGCAUUCUCAAGACUUCAUAUAUCAUGACAAUUUCUAUAUAUAAAAUUAUUUCUAUAGCGGCAAUUACAUCAAUAUAUAAACCUUAAGUAUCAAAGGUCAUUAAAAAUAUAAUGAAAAUAUUAUUAACCUUGUAUAUCCUUAAGAUAAUUUUUUUUGAACUUCAAUAUUUGAUAUCUCAUAAUCAGACUAUGUCAACAAAUUAAAAUUUUAAAUGAAGUAUUGAUAUACUUUUUAUAACUAUUGCAAUAAAUUUUAAUUGUAAAUUCAUUACGGAACUUGAGAUAUCACCAAAAUCCUAAUAAUAGCUUCAAAUCCUUACCUACAUACUUUUGUAUGCAAUGUUCUUCAUAUCACACAAAGUUAGUACUCAAAUGCUAUAAAACUUUGAUAUAUAGCUUCUUAACCUAAUGUUAUAUAUUUUUGUAAAUUUUGAGCUAAAAAUUCAUAUGAAAACUUAAGAUAUGAUUCUAAUCAUU
RNAcentral lists this long non-coding RNA (1171 nucleotides) under Physcomitrium patens. RNAcentral's name for it is "long non-coding RNA (PPAT_LNC011164)". The record is from RNAcentral. Lineage: Eukaryota; Viridiplantae; Streptophyta; Bryopsida; Funariales; Funariaceae.